AUGAGGAUUUGGCCAAUCCCCUCCACGCGCGCGCACCCAAUCCCAUCCUUGUCUCACCUCAGCCGCCUCACCUCAGCCGCCCCCGCACAAACCCUAGCCCCUUUUCUCCUCCAUUCCCACAGCCGCCGCAACCCUCCCUCUCGGUCUCCCCUCCCUCCCCACCUCCCUUGUCAGCGGUUGCCGCCACUCCACCUCCCUCUUCUCUGUCGCCGGCGGCCAGCUCAUCCGCCAUGGACGGAGGGUGUCAAUCGCAAGCAGCGCUGGCGGACGAGCACACACGCAUGUCCUCUUCCUGGUGGAAGGCAACUCGAGCAUGGGAGUGUGGCCACGGCUGGGCACCAUGGGUUGGCCGAGGUGUUUCAUGGUGAGGAACAGGUGCGCCAUUUUCCAAUCCGUCCUGCCCAGCCCGAUGCCUACCAUGAAUUCAGCACAGUUUGA
RNAcentral lists this ribosomal RNA (438 nucleotides) under Triticum aestivum (bread wheat). RNAcentral's name for it is "partial small subunit ribosomal RNA". The record is from RNAcentral. Lineage: Eukaryota; Viridiplantae; Streptophyta; Magnoliopsida; Poales; Poaceae.